This 500-nucleotide ribosomal RNA is filed under the name uncultured bacterium. Its description in RNAcentral is "bacterial SSU rRNA". It matches the Rfam family "Bacterial small subunit ribosomal RNA", at positions 28 to 507 of the family's 1533-position model. The record is from RNAcentral.
GACGAACGCUGGCGGCGUGCCUAAUACAUGCAAGUCGAGCGGAAUGAUGAAGAAGCUUGCUUCUUCUGAUUUUAGCGGCGGACGGGUGAGUAACACGUGGGCAACCUACCUUGUAGAUUGGGAUAACUCCGGGAAACCGGGGCUAAUACCGAAUAAUCCAUUUUGCUUCAUGGCGAGAUGUUGAAAGACGGUUUCGGCUGUCACUACAAGAUGGGCCCGCGGCGCGUUAGCUAGUUGGUAGGGUAAUGGCCUACCAAGGCGACGAUGCGUAGCCGACCUGAGAGGGUGAUCGGCCACACUGGGACUGAGACACGGCCCAGACUCCUACGGGAGGCAGCAGUAGGGAAUCUUCCACAAUGGACGAAAGUCUGAUGGAGCAACGCCGCGUGAGUGAAGAAGGUUUUCGGAUCGUAAAACUCUGUUGUAAGGGAAGAACACGUACGAGAGUAACUGCUCGUACCUUGACGGUACCUUAUUAGAAAGCCACGGCUAACUACGUG